AUGAAAAUGGAAAGCAACAAUCCAAGAUGUUUUCCUCAAUCUUUUUUUUCUCCUCUUUUCCAUCUUGCACUGUUUCUCCAUCCCAUUCAUUCCAAAUGGAUCUCACCCCUAAGAUCGGAGACUUGGCAAGUUUUAGACCGUGUAAAAUACCAUGAGCUAUACCCAGUUUGCCUUCCCCUGUUUUACUUGGAAAGCAAUGAGGGAGACACAAGUGCAGUGCUUGGGUCAGGUACAAAUUCUGCAUUCAGGGAAUGUGCUCAGACAGUGUGUGACCCUCAGCAGGGACAAGGCACAGCAGCAGCCAAGGGCAUUCCUGUGCCCCUGUGCAGGAGUCAAGACUCUGGCUCUUGGCUCAACAUGGCAAAGUUCCCGUGUUUGGCCAGGCUCAGGGGCUGCCCAGGGAGCGCGGGGCUCGGGGUGGGUCGAGCGGGCAAUGGACAAACGGACACGGGAACAAACGGUCCCGGUGUUUCAGUUGCAGCGGCAGCAGCGGCAGCAGACAAAAAGCAAAUUAGUCGACUCUGUCGAUUCUCCUCUCCCUCUCCCGUGGUCCCGCACCCUCUCUCAGUCUCCCUUUCCCAGUGUUCCCUCCUCUCCCAGUCUCCCUCUCCCAGUGCCCAGCCGGGCCAUGCCCCCGGCCCACUCCCUGGGUGGGGCUGCUCCAGACAUGGCCCCAGGUGUCCCACCGCAGUCUCGCCUCCACCUGGCUCCGGCUGUGCUGGCGCUGACACUGCUGGGCGGGCAUCAGUGCCUGCCUGGGGCUGGGGAGGCAUCGCUGCCCUUCGGCUCCACCUGGCCCGAGCCCAGCUCCAGCCCCGACAGAGGCUCUGGUUCUGUCCCCGACCUUGGCCCCAUUCCCUGCUUCGGCCCCAGCUCCUCCCAGGGCCCGCAGAGGACACAGGCGGCGCAGUCGCUGCCGCUGCCUCCACUGCAGCUUCCCCAGCCCGAGCUCCGCCACUUGGCAGCGAGGCCGCUAGCCCCGAGCCGCCGCUGUCGCGUUCCAAAGAGCGAAUGUCUGCGGAUGCCCAGCCCAGGGAGGGAAGGCGCGGGAGGCCCUGCAGGAGCGCUACGGGCUGGGUUCACUGCUGGGGCACGGCGAUUUCAGCAGAGUUUUCGCAGCCAUGCGGCUCUUGGAUGGUGCCCCGGUGAGCAGCGGGGCUGGUGGCGGGCGGAGAAGUUGGAGGAGGAGGAGCAGGGCGGAGGAGAAGGACAAGGAGGAGGAGGAGGGUGGAGGAGAAGGAGGAG
Molecule: long non-coding RNA, 1245 nt
Filed under: Cyanistes caeruleus (blue tit)
Lineage: Eukaryota; Metazoa; Chordata; Aves; Passeriformes; Paridae
Description: lncRNA (ENSCCEG00000004883.1)
Source: RNAcentral